GCUUCCUUCUGCCUGUCUGGAUUUUGCACCCUGUGGUGGAACAAUCGGCCAGGUGCUUAUUUCUCGGAAGAACGUAAGCUCCAUGAUGGUGGAGACCAUGCCUGUCAACAUCCGUGUUUUCUCUGCUCAGCCAAAGUUUCAACCAAGAACAUCAGGAACUAGAUGACCUCUGGUCUCUGGAAAGCCUGUUCUCAGCUCUGUCCCCACCUGUGGCUGCGCCAUUUUACACUCCCAUCCACAAUAUAUCCACAAAGUCUCC
Molecule: long non-coding RNA, 259 nt
Organism: Hippopotamus amphibius kiboko
Lineage: Eukaryota; Metazoa; Chordata; Mammalia; Artiodactyla; Hippopotamidae
Exons: 3
Source: RefSeq, a predicted model, not a curated record